AAAAAAGGUAAGCUACUAAGAGCGAAUGGUGGAUGCCUUGACUGGUAAAGGCGAUGAAGGACGUACUAGACUGCGAUAAGCUACGGGGAGCUGUCAAGAAGCUUUGAUCCGUAGAUUUCCGAAUGGGGCAACCCAAUGUAUAGAGAUAUGCAUUACCUAUAUAGGAGCGAACGAGGGGAAUUGAAACAUCUUAGUACCCUCAGGAAAAGAAAUCAAUAGAGAUUGCGUCAGUAGCGGCGAGCGAAAGCGCAAGAGGGCAAACCC
Molecule: ribosomal RNA, 264 nt
Filed under: Campylobacter jejuni
Lineage: Bacteria; Pseudomonadati; Campylobacterota; Epsilonproteobacteria; Campylobacterales; Campylobacteraceae
Description: partial 23S ribosomal RNA
Rfam family: Bacterial large subunit ribosomal RNA
Source: RNAcentral